RNAcentral lists this ribosomal RNA (301 nucleotides) under uncultured bacterium. RNAcentral's name for it is "partial 16S ribosomal RNA". It matches the Rfam family "Bacterial small subunit ribosomal RNA", at positions 509 to 810 of the family's 1533-position model. The record is from RNAcentral.
CAGUCGCCACGGUAAUACGGAGGGGGCUAGCGUUGUUCGGAAUUACUGGGCGUAAAGCGCACGUAGGCGGCUUGGUAAGUUAGAGGUGAAAGCCUGGAGCUCAACUCCAGAAUUGCCUUUAAGACUGCCGAGCUAGCAGGUGAGAGAGGUAAGUGGAAUUCCGAGUGUAGAGGUGAAAUUCGUAGAUAUUCGGAAGAACACCAGUGGCGAAGGCGGCUUACUGGCUCAUACUGGACGCUGAGGUGCGAAAGCGUGGGGAGCAAACAGGAUUAGAUACCCCGGAGUCCUGUCUCUUAUACAC